Heterocephalus glaber (naked mole-rat) is the source of this 3231-nucleotide non-coding RNA. The record is from RefSeq and is a predicted model, not a curated record. NCBI's taxonomy places the organism in Eukaryota, Metazoa, Chordata, Mammalia, Rodentia, Bathyergidae.
ACUAAUGUACUGGUUUUAAUGUUGCCAUCUACGAUAGACUGAAUGUGUCCCCCAGUUCAUGUAUUGAAACCUUCCCUACCCCUGUGUGAUGGAAGCAGGAAGUGGCUCCUUUGGGUGGGGUGAUUAGGUCCUAAAGGUCGAGUCUCAGGGAAGGACACAGCAAGAGGACAGCCAGCCAUCUGCAGCCACUAAUACUGCAAGGCCCCGCCUUCAUGACCUCAUCCAUCCUUAAUCAUUCCAAGGCCUGUGUCAGUAUCCUGUUAUCAGACAAAUUGGGAAUUAAAUUUUCCUCACAGGAAGUUUGGGGGCACGCUCCCACCACACAGAUGCCCACAGCAGCCCUGUGGCUGGCUGCUUUCCUCCUCCUUACCCUGAAUUACUCAUUUCCCUGCAGCCUCUGGAGAUCUUGCCCCCCCCCCCGCCAUGUGUCUGGAAGCUGGUGUCCAUUAGAGGUGGCCUACCCUGUCCCUAGGCCAUUGACCAGCCCCUCAUCACAGCCCUGCUCUGGGGUCCCCAUCUUGUACCUGGCCUGGCCACCUCACCACUUCUUCCCAUGGUCCUCUCUUAUCUUCUGGAACAUCGGGAUGUGGCCAUGGAACUCCUGGAUCCAGAUGUUACUGUGUUCCCAGAAUCCUCAUGGUUCCCUACUCAGCACAAUUAAAACCAGGGGAAACUGCUGGCUCCUUUGGAUCAGAGCAGUGUUCUCAGGGACAGAGGACACUCAUGGGAAUUGUCCAGGGACCUCUGGGAUUCAUCCCAGCACAGACACCAGCUGAAGCCUCCCCCCUGCAAAAAAAGCCAUGUGGUUCCUAUCAUACCUCUGUUCUAGACUGAGCUGGGCUAACCCUGCUGACCCAGGACUAUAGCAAAGGCCAAAGCCGAGAACACAGUGCUGUCAUAAGCUGAAGUUUGAACUUGGACAGCUGCCUAUGUACCAUCAGCUGCCACACUUGAAGGGGUUCCUUAGGCAGUGCCGUCUGGCCAGAACCAGAGUGUCACUGAACCUAGCUGAGUCUUUGCCAAACUUGCUUUAUUUUUCUCUGAGACAAAAGGCAAUACCUUUCCCAGUCUCCUUUGCAACUAGGUGUGGCCAAAGGACUGGAUUCUGGCUGAUGGAAUGGGAAGGGGCAGCUUCUAUGUUCUUUGCCCUCCUCCAGGCUGAUUAAUGCCAAGGGCCAAGGUGACCUUGUUGACCUCAGAGUGAAGGUAGCAGGGUGGUACGCAAGGGGGCAGUGUCCUUGAGUCCCUGAUGGGAGACCUGAUGGUACCCAAGACACCACUAGGAUCCUCCUGAGGCCAAAGCAGUCCUGGGCUGGGUCUGAGGGCACACAGGUCUUCCCAGAGCUGCAUUGCUUCAGAUGCUGUCUGCCCAUGGGGGGUGCCAUUUUCUCCUUAAGGGAAAAAGCCAGGGAGGACUUUGAGAACCCCCAAAGAGAGGGAAGGGGCCUGUGAAGAAGGGACAAGGGUAUCUUGGUCCCUCCCUGGGUCGCUAUUUAGCCAGUGGACUCGCCCUCGGCCUUCUUCUGAGCUUCCCCCAGCACAUGCCCUGGUUAGGAAACUGAGUCAUGAGAGGACUUUCCAGGCUCUCCAUGCUCCUGGGGUCCCAGAGAGCUCCAGCCACAGGCCCUAGGUUGAGUUAGGGCCAAACAUUCUUUAGAAAUAAACAAGGUUUAGUUUUAAACGCCAGCAGGCUGUUCUAAAGAUAAAAAUGACAACAGCACCUUGUAAUCCGGCCAAGAUGUCAGAAGGGACCUCCUACCUAGCGGGAAGGGGGUUCAGCAGAUUCUACUUGGAUGGAGGCUUGGAAGAAACAACAUUUUUAUAAUUGUAAUUUAUACUCCCAACACGCUGAGAUUCCCCAGUAAACCAGUUAUACAUAAUUCACUUAGAUUAUGGAAAGUAAAAACCAAAACAAAGCUAUGAGGUUGCUAAAUAGGAGAAGCAGUGAAAAUGCUGUAUUCCCAGGCUGAAGGAGCUCUGGAGGCAGGAAAGCAACAGGUCAGAGCUGCCUGUUUUGGUUUCUGGAGAAAAACAGCCUUGCACCUGCCAGAUCCCAGGCAGCAUUCAGGAAGCCAAAGGUGCAAGGUGUCUUGAGGAGCAGGACCAGACUUUGUCUCCUGGAAAUUCCUGGCCAAGAAGGGACAAGUCACAUGUCAGUCUCAAACUUUGAUCAUGCCCUUAGAGGAAAAGAUAUUAGUAAAACCUGUAUUUAGCCUUAAAAUCAAUAAUGUCUUAGACUCAAAGAAAUAGCUUUUGCAGUUUGGGGAUAUACUUAAUGUACAAUUUUAUAUCCUUUACGAAAUUGAUUUAAUAUGAUGCACAUUUUACCAUGUUGUUAAGACAUUUAAUGAUUUCACAAUAUUUUGUUACAUGGAGAUAUAUAACUUCUAUUGCUGUUCUUCCCAUCGUUCUUGCUCCUUUCUGAAGCAGUGCUGGAGUCCUCUUUCAUGAGUGUCUUUACAAGAUAUGAGAAAUACUAUGAUAAAUGCUGCUGCUGAGUGUCGUCCCAUGGAAAGGCAGGUUCCUGGAAACAUGAUGCUGUGUCCUCAUCCACCUUACUCACUGGAUUUGGCUUACUCAUUGGAUGUCUCCUAGCUUUUGCCUGAAGUCAAAAUGACCAUGAAAGGUCCUGAGUUCAAUCUGCAGAUGCAGAGAUGGAGCAGUGGAGCCUCGAUCCCCGGACGGAGAGAUGGAGCAGUGGAGUUAUGCCUAGUUGGGAGAGAGGGAGAGGGAGAGAGGGAGAGGGAGAGAGGGCUGUCUGGGUAGAACCAGCAUGACCUGGAAGAAACAGAAGGAAGAAGGGAAACCCACAUGCUCAGAGGAGGUGGAUGAGGGGCCCAAGAGCAGAGAGGUCCUGAGCUCUGUGACCUGGCAGAGCUCCAGAAGAGUCUGAUGUAAAGGGGUCUGGAGUUGGGGUCCUCCAGCUAAUGUGGGCUGCAUGACUCAGACCAUGUUCCAGGGAAGGUAAGGAAACAGCUGGGCAGAGGAUUUAAAGAAGAUGGGCUGCUGGAUGUGGUGGUGCACACCUAUAAGCCCAGCCCUCCGGGAGGCUGAGGCAGGGAGAUUGCUAGUGCCAGCCCAGCCUGGGCAACUUAGUGCCUUCGCAAGGUCUUUACUUGGGCAGUUUACCAAGUUAACCAAACACUGUCUCAAAAACUUAAAAAUGGCCCAGGGAUAUAGAUUCGUGUAAAGGCACUAGGUUCAAUCCCCAAUACAAAAAAAAAAAAAAAA